GAUGAACGCUAGCGGCAGGCCUAAUACACGCAAGUCGAGGGGCAGCAGGAAUAGCAAUAUUCGCUGGCGACCGGCGCACGGGUGCGUAACACGUAUACAAUCUGCCUUUAACAGGGGGAUAGCCCGGAGAAAUCCGGAUUAAUACCCCAUAACAGUGAUCUUGGCAUCAAGGACACUUAAAAGCUCCGGCGGUUAAAGAUGAGUAUGCGUCUGAUUAGCUAGUUGGUGAGGUAACGGCCCACCAAGGCGACGAUCAGUAGGGGAUCUGAGAGGAUUAACCCCCAAACGGAUACUGAGACACGGAUCCGACUCCUACGGGAGGCAGCAGUAAGGAAUAUUGGACAAUGCCCGCAAGGGUGAUCCAGCCAUGCCGCGUGCAGGAAGACGGCCCUAUGGGUUGUAAACUGCUUUUACACCGGAGAAAACCCCACUACGUGUAGUGGGCUGAUAGUAUGGUGAGAAUAAGCAUCGGCUAACUUCGUGCCAGCAGCCGCGGUAA
Molecule: ribosomal RNA, 499 nt
Filed under: uncultured bacterium
Lineage: Bacteria
Description: partial 16S ribosomal RNA
Rfam family: Bacterial small subunit ribosomal RNA
Source: RNAcentral